Molecule: ribosomal RNA, 511 nt
Filed under: uncultured bacterium
Lineage: Bacteria
Description: bacterial SSU rRNA
Rfam family: Bacterial small subunit ribosomal RNA
Source: RNAcentral
AUGGCUCAGGAUGAACGCUAGCUACAGGCUUAACACAUGCAAGUCGAGGGGCAGCAUGAUCUGUGCUUGCACAGAUUGAUGGCGACCGGCGCACGGGUGAGUAACGCGUAUCCAACCUUCCCCUUAGUAGGGCAUAGCCCGGCGAAAGUCGGAUUAAUACCCUAUGUUUUCCAAUGAGGACAUCUGAGCUGGAAUAAAGAUCCAUCGCUAAGGGAUGGGGAUGCGUCCGAUUAGGUUGUUGGCGGGGUAACGGCCCACCAAGCCUUCGAUCGGUAGGGGUUCUGAGAGGAAGGUCCCCCACACUGGUACUGAGACACGGACCAGACUCCUACGGGAGGCAGCAGUGAGGAAUAUUGGUCAAUGGGCGAGAGCCUGAACCAGCCAAGUAGCCGUGCAGGAUGACGGCCCUAUGGGUUGUAAACUGCUUUUAUACGGGGAUAAAGUGAGGGACGUGUCCCUUAUUGUAGGUACCGUAUGAAUAAGGACCGGCUAAUUCCGUGCCAGCAGCUGC